Long non-coding RNA from Sapajus apella (tufted capuchin), 345 nucleotides. RefSeq lists it as uncharacterized. The record is from RefSeq and is a predicted model, not a curated record. The transcript has 4 exons. Lineage: Eukaryota; Metazoa; Chordata; Mammalia; Primates; Cebidae.
AAACAGACAGCAAAAAUAAAGUUCUUACAAGUCAAGUGGCCCACUACCCGGGCUGCAGGCUGAAGACGGAAAAAAACGACAAAGAUGAGGAUGAAGAUGUUCACGUUGUGGAGGCUGAGAAAAUACAGGAAUCACGUGCCCACAGGAAUCUGCAGGAGUCUGUGGAGGAGGAAGCCCCUCCGGAGUCCUGGGAUGGUUAUUCCACUCUCUCAGUUCCUCCUGGCACAUCUGCCUUCAAUGAGUCUUACAGGAGCAACUUGCACUCAUUAAAGGAGCAGCAAGUCAACUUGGCUGUCGACAUAGGCAGCUCAGCAUGGAGCUGGUGGAAGCAGAAGAGCCUGAAGU